UGAACGCUAGCGGCAGGCUUAACACAUGCAAGUCGAGGGGCAGCACGGGUAGCAAUACCUGGUGGCGACCGGCGCAAGGGUGCGUAACGCGUGAGCAACAUGCCCUAUACAGGGGGAUAAUCCAGGGAAACUUGGUCUAAUAUCCCAUAGCAUUUAGAGGAGGCAUCUUCACUAAAUUAAAGCUUCGGUGGUAUAGGAUUGGCUCGCGUGACAUUAGCUAGAUGGUGAGGUAACGGCCCACCAUGGCUAUGAUGUCUAGGGGUUCUGAGAGGAAGACCCCCCACAUUGGGACUGAGACACGGCCCAGACUCCUACGGGAGGCAGCAGUGAGGAAUAUUGGACAAUGGAUGGAAAUCUGAUCCAGCCAUGCCGCGUGCAGGAAGACGGCCCUAUGGGUUGUAAACUGCUUUUAUAUGGGAGCAAUAAGGUUUACGAGUAGACCGAUGAGAGUACCAUAUGAAUAAGCAUCGGCUAACUCCGUG
Molecule: ribosomal RNA, 482 nt
Filed under: uncultured bacterium
Lineage: Bacteria
Description: bacterial SSU rRNA
Rfam family: Bacterial small subunit ribosomal RNA
Source: RNAcentral